RNAcentral lists this ribosomal RNA (321 nucleotides) under Triticum aestivum (bread wheat). RNAcentral's name for it is "partial small subunit ribosomal RNA". The record is from RNAcentral. Lineage: Eukaryota; Viridiplantae; Streptophyta; Magnoliopsida; Poales; Poaceae.
AUGGCCCGUGAUGUGUUGGCUGUUCCGGUAUCAGUGGUUUCGUCUGAGUCGGCAUUUAGCACAAGUGGUCGCACUCUAAAUGAAUUUAGAACCUCUCUUACACCAUUCAUGGUCCAAGCUCUUGUUUGUGCCCAAGAUUGGCUAAGGGGUUCUAUUAAUGUCAACAUUGAAGAAGAUGAGGAGGAAUUGUUAAGAUUGGAAAAGGAACUAAUUGAAGAGUUUGGUAGUACAAAUUCAUCCAAGUCAAAAGCAAGCAGUAGCAAGUAUGUUUGCAAGCCAUCUGGGGUUGUGCCAUCUUGCCCACCUCCAUCCUCUACUUAA